GACGAACGCUGGCGGCGUGCUUAACACAUGCAAGUCGAACGGAAAGGCCCUGCUUUUGUGGGUUGCUCGAGUGGCGAACGGGUGAGUAACACGUGAGUAACCUGCCCUUGACUUUGGGAUAACUUCAGGAAACUGGGGCUAAUACCGGAUAGGAGCUCCUGCUGCAUGGUGGGGGUUGGAAAGUUUCGGCGGUUGGGGAUGGACGCGCGGCUUAUCAGCUUGUUGGUGGGGUAGUGGCUUACCAAGGCUUUGACGGGUAGGCGGCAUGAGAGGGUUAACGGGCACAUGGGGACUGAGAUACGGACCAGACUGGUACGGGAGGCAGCAGUGGGGAAUAUUGCACAAUGGGCGGAAGCCUGAGGCAGCAACGCCGCGUGCGGGAUGACGGCCUUCGGGUUGUAAACCGCUUUCGCCUGUGACGAAGCGUGAGUGACGGUAAUGGGUAAAGAAGCACCGGCUAACUACGUG
Molecule: ribosomal RNA, 468 nt
Filed under: uncultured bacterium
Lineage: Bacteria
Description: partial 16S ribosomal RNA
Rfam family: Bacterial small subunit ribosomal RNA
Source: RNAcentral